Non-coding RNA from Musa acuminata subsp. malaccensis (wild Malaysian banana), 2034 nucleotides. NCBI's taxonomy places the organism in Eukaryota, Viridiplantae, Streptophyta, Magnoliopsida, Zingiberales, Musaceae. The record is from RefSeq and is a predicted model, not a curated record.
UCGCCCACCUCCGGUGGAUCGGAGAAUCUUCCACGCAGAAAAAACUUUUCUCCUUUCCGAAUCCGAUGGCCGAUCGAGAAAAAAACCGACAUUGGCAUCUCCCCUGCUUGGCUUCCGUUUCACGCUUGUUCGGAAGCUAUGCGAAGGCCCCACAACGUUGGGGACGUCAGGUGGGGUAAGCCGUGGUCGAUAGAGCCCCCAUCGAGGCCGAGAUCGGAUAUAAAGCUACGGUUGGGUCGAGGAGAGUCGACGACAAGGUGGAGUUCAAGGAGAGAGCCGUCAGGUUCUAUCCUGGUGAGAGAUUGAAAGCAACAAAAAUCAAAUACCAGGUCUCACAACCUGGUGGACUAAUUCCCAGUGGAAUUGAUUCUGGGGACCCUUUGGGUUCCAAAGUUUUCAUCGAGGACCAUGAUCCUUGGUGGAAGAGGAUACUGGAUCCAGGAAGCAACAUCCUGAUGAAAUGGAACCAUGUCUUCCUCGUCUCAUUCUUGGUUGCACUGGUCAUAGAUCCUCUAUACCUCUAAUUGCCGUUGGCCGAUAAGAGCAGCACUAUGUGUAUCAAGACGGAUGAGAAUAUGAGAGUUACCAUUACCUUCCUCCGAACUCUUGCCAAUCUAUUCUAUAUACUGAACAUAGCUGUGAAGUUAGGACUGCGUAUGUUUCUCCAAGCUUGAGAGUAUUUGGACGGGGAGAGCGUAUAAUGGACCGCAAGAAGAUUGCCAUGAGAUUGUUGUUUGGUCAGUCAUCCUAACAGUCAGGAACUUAAGAGCCCAAGACAACAAUAAUGCACUUGCUCUGAUUGUUCUAAUACAAUACAUACCAAGAUUUUAUCUCAUAUUUCCCUUAAGUCAACAAAUUAUUAAAACUACUGGUGUUGUUACAAAGACUGGUUGGGCAGGAGCUGUAUACAAUCUUUUGCUUUACAUGAUUGCCAGCCAUGUAAGUAACUCUAUCACUUUCCCUUAAUUAUUGUGUAUCAACCUUGAAAAUUAUGAUGGAUAUAUUGUCUUGAUUCUGAGGAAAAGAGUUUUCACAGGAUUUUAUUGGAAUUUGCAGGUUUUAGGAGCUUCAUGGUCUUUGCUUUCAGUUGAAAGACAGAGGACAUGCUGGAAAUCACAAUGCACUCUGGAUAGACCAUUAUGCAAACUAAGGUUCUUGAUUGUGGCUUGUCAAGCCAACCAGAACGUCAAAGCUGGGUUAGUGUCACAAAGGUUUUCAUAAAUUGUGGUCCUAAUGGCACUUUCAAAUUUGGCAUUUUUAAAUCUGCACUAACAAAUGAAGUUCUUACCACGAAGCUUGUCAAGAAGUAUUUCUAUCGUCUUUAGCGGGGAUUGCAAAAGCUAAGGCAUGAACUCUUACUUCCUAUCUUUCAUGUGAAAGUUAAUAUGACUUGGCACAAUUAUGGAUAUACUCUUGAUUUUUUUUUCUCAUGCUAUUUCCUUGAUAUCAGAAAGAUGCUACCACAUCCGGUCGAUUGAAGCUCACUGUGCUCUUGUAUUCUUGCUUGACAAGAAAAACUUUAGCAGAGGAGAGUAUGAUCAACAUACGCACUCCUGUGGCCAAACAUCGACAACGAGUGCUUUUGUUUUCUAUACUCAUCGUCCUUGUUGGUCUUGUUCUAUUUGCGCACCUGAUCGGAAACAUGCAGCGGCUGCUGUCAUCGUUACGUGGGUUUGUUUACCAAGGAAAGGAGAGUGUUGGGAAGAGGCGUUCUGACAUCAACCAGCUCAAGAUGUGGAUGUGUCACCGGCUGCUAUUGCUUUUGCGACCGUUAGAGAUGCAGAUCUGAUGACUGUAGCAGGUGGAAACUCUGUGAGUUAAUACACCGACAAUGGUGUCGCACAAAUUAGUGGCGUUUUUCCAACGGCUUGGCUUGGUUGGGGAGACUUUAUUUUGAUGCAAUUGUUCGCGAUGGCCCAACCACGUCUAUUUAUUGAUUGCCACCAACAUCUGAUGGGACACCACAGUUCGAAUGCUCAUCAAUUUAUUCAAUUUCAAUUAAAUAUAUAGUUAUCCAAAUGUAAUUUAAAUCCG